RNAcentral lists this ribosomal RNA (479 nucleotides) under uncultured bacterium. RNAcentral describes it as "bacterial SSU rRNA". It matches the Rfam family "Bacterial small subunit ribosomal RNA", at positions 15 to 507 of the family's 1533-position model. The record is from RNAcentral.
GAUCCUGGCUCAGAAUGAACGUUGGCGGCGUGGAUUAGGCAUGCGAGUCGUGCGAGAACCGUAGCAAUACGGGGACAGCGGCGAAAGGGAGAGGAACACGUGGAUACCUACCCUCAGGUUCAGGAUAGCUAUGGGAAACUAUAGGUAAUACUGAAUAAUAUCUCCGGAUCAAAGGUGUGAUUCCGCCGGAGGAGGGGUCCGCGUCCUAUUAGCUAGUUGGUGAGGUAAUGGCUCACCAAGGCGAAGAUGGGUACGGGAUGUGAGAACAUGAUCCCGCUCAUUGGGACUGAGACACUGCCCAGACACCUACGGGUGGCUGCAGUCGAGAAUCUUCGGCAAUGGGGGAAACCCUGACCGAGCGACGCCGCGUGUGAGAUGAAGGCCUUCGGGUUGUAAAUCACUGUCGUAGAGGAGGAAGUGUAGGUGGGUUCUCCCACUUAUUUGACCUAUUCUAGGAGGAAGGACGGGCUAAGUUCGUG